AUUGAACGCUGGCGGCAGGCUUAACACAUGCAAGUCGAGCGGGGUGAUGGUGCUUGCACUAUCACUUAGCGGCGGACGGGUGAGUAAUGCUUAGGAAUCUGCCUAUUAGUGGGGGACAACAUCUCGAAAGGGAUGCUAAUACCGCAUACGUCCUACGGGAGAAAGCAGGGGAUCACUUGUGACCUUGCGCUAAUAGAUGAGCCUAAGUCGGAUUAGCUAGUUGGUGGGGUAAAGGCCUACCAAGGCGACGAUCUGUAGCGGGUCUGAGAGGAUGAUCCGCCACACUGGGACUGAGACACGGCCCAGACUCCUCCGGGAGGCAGCAGUGGGGAAUAUUGGACAAUGGGGUGAACCCUGAUCCAGCCAUGCCGCGUGUGUGAAGAAGGCCUUAUGGUUGUAAAGCACUUUAAGCGAGGAGGAGGCUCUUUUGGUUAAUACCCAAGAUGAGUGGACGUUACUCGCAGAAUAAGCACCGGCUAACUCUGUGCCAGCCGCCGCCGUAA
Molecule: ribosomal RNA, 503 nt
Filed under: uncultured bacterium
Lineage: Bacteria
Description: partial 16S ribosomal RNA
Rfam family: Bacterial small subunit ribosomal RNA
Source: RNAcentral